RNAcentral lists this unclassified non-coding RNA (8266 nucleotides) under Portunus trituberculatus (swimming crab). Its description in RNAcentral is "arf-GAP with dual PH domain-containing protein 1- like, transcript variant X4". The record is from RNAcentral. Lineage: Eukaryota; Metazoa; Arthropoda; Malacostraca; Decapoda; Portunidae.
GGAGGUGAGGGAGGGCGGGGUGAGUGCCAGGCAGGGACGGCAAAGUCUCCUGCAUCGUCUGUAAAUAUGUCAGUGUGCCAGUGAGCCCCAGUGAGCCCCGCAACGCCCCUGCUGCCGCCAUGGGGGAUAGGAACUCCCGCAGGAUAAUAGAGCUGGCCAAACUGGUCGGCAACAGUGUUUGUGGCGACUGUGGAUGUUCCAAUCCAGAAUGGGCAUCUUACAACCUUGGCGUGUUCAUCUGCACCACCUGCGCCACCUGGCACAGGAAGCUGGGAACCCAUGUGUCCAAGGUGAAGCAUCUCAAGCUGGACAAGUGGGAUGAUGAGCAGGUGCAGAAUAUGGAGGAGAUAGGGAACGAGAAAGCUAAACAGAAAUAUGAGCAACACGUCCCUCCCUGCUACAGAGUGCCUAAGCCAGGUGACCCUCCUGUGUUACAGGAGCAGUGGGUGAGGGCUAAGUAUGAGCGCCAGGAGUUUAUACAUGUGGACAAACAGACGUACAACACCAAUGAAAUUGAGGGACGGUUGAUGAAGAAGGCGCGAGAUGAGAACAAGUAUUACGAGAGGAAAUUUUCAGUGUCGGAGAAUUGUUUGAAGUAUUACAAUAAGGAGAAUUCUAAGGAGCCCAAAGUAACCAUCACCCUUUCGGAGCUGAGCGUUUGCCUGGCGCCGCCCAAGAUGAAGCAGAACAACGGCAUGCAGCUCUCCUAUAUGUGUGAUGGCUCCACGCGGCACAUCUAUGUCUACCACGCCUCGGGGGAGACUAUCAUCCACUGGUACAUGGCUAUCCGGAAUAUCAAACUGAACCGUCUCCUUGUGGCCUAUCCAAGUGCAACGCCGGAGGAGGUGGUUCCUUACUUAACCAAUGACUUCACGAUGGAGGGCUGGCUCUCCAAGACAGGCCCCAGCGAGAGGGAUGCCUACCGAAAGAGAUGGUUCACUCUGGAUGACCGCAAGUUAAUGUACCACGAGAACCCCAUGGACCCAUACCCAAGAGGGGAGAUCUUCCUGGGGCACAAGGAUGACAACUAUUCUGUGAGUGAGGGUGUGCCAAGAGGCUGCAAGGAGCAUGACUGUGCCUUCUCUCUGGUCACCCCUGAUCGGACGUUUGUCAUGUCAGCGCCGACACGUGAGGAGCGAGCACAGUGGAUGAAGGCAAUCAACACCGUUCUGGAGCGACCCUUGCGGCCACAGGACAAUCAGAUGGCGGUCAACUUGGUUCGGAAAAAGCCAGGCAAGUUCAGCUUAGACAUCUUCAGCUUAGGUUAAGAGCGGAUUCAUUCCACCCCGAUCAGUCGUGCUUCAGAUGAUACUAUGCUAUAUCUCUAUUUUCCGUCAGAUGUGUACGUAUACCACUGUAGUGUUGUAGUAGCUAGAUAGUUGUAGUAGUCAAUCCAAGUGCAAUCUAAUACUGUCAAGAGGUUAAUAUUAGACUCCUUCUCACCCCAGUAAGUCGAUUAUGUAUGCGCAUUUCUCCCUCAAGCUUAACAUUCUCCAAAUACUCCUCCGUGCUGCUCGACCCGUUACUCAGCUGGGUAGUGGUGGUGCGAUCGCUGUCUCUGUGUUGCUUCCAUAGUUUGUUGUGGUGGAUUAAUGACUGGCUGGGCGUAUGAUUGUUCUCCAGGUUUGUUAGGUUUUCUUUAAGAUAGACUGAGAAUCCAUUAUAUUUCAGUAGUUAUAGAUCCAUUUCCUCAGAUUAUGGAGCAUUCCACAGGAGACAUGCAUAUUUAGACUCACAACACUGGUUUCUGAUUCUAACACCAAUAUUUAAGCCACUCACAGCCACAUUUACACACUUCCAUACUCCACUCCACAGGCUUUUACUCCACAUUGCAUCCCUCAUCUCUUUACUCCACACCACACCCUCCUGCAUGAAAUCCCUUGCCCUACCACACUGCCUCACUCCACACCACACUCUUAAUAUAUACCACAUGAUAUCCCCCAUCACUCCACACACUGUCACACUCCAUAUCUCACCCUACCACUCACAUACCACACCCUGCCAUCACAUCCUAGUCAUCACACCUUGCACUCGUAAAUUAAAGCAAAAGGACCAAUUUAUUUUAUUCACAACUUGAAGAAAAAAUAAAGAAUUCCUAAAUUGCAACUUGAACUGUCUUAUCUAAAACAAAAAUUACAAAAAAAAAUCAAAAUGUCAGAUUGAAUCCUAUAUACCUGAGGCAAAAUUCUAUGUAUAGAGAAUCCUCUGUGUCUCUAAUACUUUCACUGUUCUUAUUCUUUGUUUUCAUUCAGAGCACAGUUUGUUUGUUCAGAUAGACACACACACAAGAGAAAGAGAAUGGAAGCUUUACUGUAGAAGUUAACUGUGUCUUUUCCAGGCUACAGAACUACUUAGAGACUGUAGUACAAAUCUAAGUGUCUAAGAAAUUAACUAUGAAAAAUAUUAUGAAAGGGUGAAGAGUUUGACUGACAUGUAGCACUGUAUUCCCAAAACAUUCAUAACACUCUCCUCUCUUCCUGGAAAAAGUUAGUCUGAUUGGAUUUUGUUCUCAUGGGUAAAAGUCCUUCAUCUCGCUUUGUGUGUGUCGCUUUAAGUUGUCAGGAACGAACAAACAUAGCACUGUAUGCCACAAAAGCUUCCUCUGUUCCUUGAAAAGUCAAUACAUCAAAUCAGAUUCUGCAUGUCUGAGUGGUGAGCUCUUUCCUCUCUCCUCCCUCAGAGUGUGUCUCUUUAAAAGGUCAACUGGUAUCAUUCUCUGCCAAGUUUCUGUUCUUUUUUCAUCAUUUCUCCUUAUGUACUUCUUAACUGGAGAAACUUAAAACUUGUAUCCAUUCUCAUCGUAGUGUUUCCAGUCAGUGAUGUAAUUUUUUGCAAUAUUUACUUGGAGAAACUUGUAUUUAAUUUCCAUUCAAGUAUUUUCAAUCCGUAACUUAACUUUAUAAUCUCCACAUGGUGUAAAAAUUUUGAAUUGGAAAUAUUUACAUGGAUAUAUUAAUUUUCAUUGUAAUAUUUCCCAUCAUUAGCUUUAACUUUUCAUAAUUUCUACCAAAGUACAUUGGAUCAGACAAACUUGACUUCUAUUCAUUUCCAUUCAGGCAUAUUCAGUCAACUUCAGUCAUCUUACAUUUUUUUUUCUACUGGGUACAUGUUUUCUCUUAUCUAUCUGGAGGGCAUAUUUAUUAAUCCUCCUUUUCUUGGUAUCAUCUUGAGUCAGUAUCUGGUCUUGAGUCUCAGUUCAGAGUUCAUUGGAUGAUUUUGAAAUGGUACAUCAGAUGAGUCAUUCAGAUUUGAGGCCUUAUUUCUAAAUGUAAAGCAUUCAUUAGUAUACACAUGAAAUACAUACACACAAGGACAUUCACACACAUACAGUCACAUAUUCAGUCAUAUUCACAAUCAAAAUAAGCCAAGUCCAUACAUUAGCCAUGGAGGGUAUACGUGUUAACAAUGAUAAUAACAAUAACUGUAUUUUAUCAAACCUCUUGGUGUUAGUCAUACUUUCUAAGACGUAUCUUAUAAAAGCAUAUAAAUUAACACAUCACACAUCAGUCCUGCCUCUUCCCAGACAUACCUGCAAACCACCUCAGACACUUCUUUCAAAAACAGUCACAGAAAGUCUCUCAAAUGUGGUAUUUCAAAGAUUUUCCAAAACUUCCUUUUGCAAAAAGAAAGAACUUAGAAUAAAUUAUGUUAACUUCUUUAAAAAAUUAUCUUAACUUCUUAGAAAAAAAAGUCAAAAAUUUCCUUCAACUCUUGUAUUAUGUUUUGCUAUUACAGCUUUUUCAAUUAGGAGAUAUUAUGAGAGUAAGCAGAGAAUGUUAGGGGAGGAGAGGCAUGGUGUGUGUGUGUGUGUGUUUGUGUGUGUGUGUGUGUGUGUGUGUGUGUGUGUGUGUGUGUGUGUGUGUGUGUGUGUGUGUGUGUGUGUGUGUAUGUAUGUAUGUAUGUAUGUAUGAGAGAGAGAGAGAGAGAGAGAAUUAGUGUUGUACUGUUAUAACCUCAAAUAAUUACAAAUAAGCUUAUACUACUACAUUGUUGAUAGCAGUGCUCAAAUGUAUAAUUGUUGCAUAUUCCAUAAGGUCUACCAGUAGAGGAGAGAUUGUAAUUAUCUUGAUUUUUAUCUAAGUAGCAAGAAAGAAAACAGUAGCUGUAUUCCCAAACGUUUCCUUGUUUCGACUAAUUUAGGCUGCAGCAGAUGAUAUUGUGGGUUUCCAAGGAUAUCUUCAUGAUUCUAGGAAUAGUUUGAUACAGAUUUUGCACCAUCAGUUAAAAGAACAUCUAUGGGAACCCAACCAUUAUCAUCUUUGUGGCGUUUGAAAGUAAUCCUGACAAGAGAAAGCAUUGAAGAAUACAGACUGGGGCAUGUUGCACAUGUAGAAGGAUGGUGGUGGGUGCACAAGCUUUUAAGGUGGUAGGGACAGUGUGAAGGCAAGAAACCCCAAAAAACUCUCAUUAAUAUCAAGUUGAAGUUACAGAGCAAUUACCAAGAAAGAGAUGAAGUGUUGCAUGAUUAAAUUAUCUGGAUGGUGAGGAAGUUCAUGAAGAUUUUAGGGACAGUGUAAGGAAGGAGAACACAAGAGAUUUCAGGAUAUUAAGAGUGUAUUAGUGUAGAAAAGAAUAGCUUACAGUGUUCUCAGAUUAAGUAUAAGCUAGCUACAGAUGCACAAGGUGAUAAGAAUAUAGAGUGAUGAGAGAAGACAAAAGACAGACAGGAAAUCUUUGUUAUAUUAAGGUGUACUAGUGUUAAAGUAAGGGUGCAUUGCUAUCAGUGUAUUGAAUAUGUGUUGGCUAAAGGUGCACUAAGUAAUGGGAAUGCAGUGUUGUGAGAAGGCAAAAGACAGAAGUAACCUUUCCAUGGUAUUUGGGGUAUUGUGACAAGAAUGACAUGCAUUGUGCUCUGAUUAAUAAUGAGUGACAUAAAUUUGAGUUCCUGAAGUUACGCAAGGUAAUAGGGGAAAACUAAGCACAAAGGAAAUGAGCAUGGGAGUAUAUGUGACUCAGUGACUGUAUUGAGAGAGUGUCAUAGAGGGAAAAGAAGGAAACAGUGGAAGUGAAAGGGUGCAGCCUCUCAGAUGAGUUGGUCCGAGUGAAGUUGAUGUGAAUUUGCUCAGAAAGUGUUAAUCCCUGCAGCAUUUACAUUCUGUAUUAUCGAUCUCUAGACAGUCCCGGUGCAUGGGGCAGUGGCAAUAAUGAUAACACCAGUAAUAAGAGAGUUUAACGAAUACAUACUUAGCAAUACUACACGUGUUCAUGGUCUAGUUACUGAAGUUACCAUGAGAAAAACCAGUGUAUGAGUAAGAUUUGUAUUAAGAGUAACACAUAGAUAUAUAUAUAUAUAUAUAUAUGAAUAUUAGACAUUAUUUAGUAUGUUAUUAGUGUGUACACAGAUAACCCUUUGACAUUGAGACAGCACAUUUAUCAUUCUGUUUGUGUAAUGCUAGGUGGAGUCAACGGAAUAAUGCCACAGACACUAGAAGGUUUGAAGUGUUCAGUCGAUGGUGCUUCAAAAUUGUCAAAGGCAGCUCGCUUCUUGACAAUGAGAACUAGCACCUUCAUUAUUCUGUUCAGGUAGUGCUAGAUGAAAUAAAUGAACAGAUUAAGCUGAAGACAGUAGAAGGUUUGUGUUCAGUUAUUCCAGUUUCAGAAUUGUCAAAGGCAGUUCACAGUUUGAGAGUGAAACUGACACCUUUAUUAUUUGAGAUGAUUUUACAAGAGUUGCUAUGAACACUAGAAGGCUCGAGGUGUACAGUCACUCCUGCUGUCCAUGGCUUCAAAAUCAUACCCAAACCUGUGACAUGUUUUGAUGUCAGAGUGGUCAGAGGGUUGGUUAUACGUAUUCAUCCGGAGAAAUACAAGGUGAUGAGCAUAAGUCGUCAUUCUGAUUCAUACUGUGUUCACUAACUGUAUGCUGUAGGAUUUAUAUUAAGUAUUUGUACAGUUUGCCUAUUAUACACUUCAUGUCUACAUCUUCAUUUUUCGUCAUUAUAUGCAACUGGAGAAUCUCGUAACCUUUGUUUUGUUUAGGUAUUUAUAUUGUUUGUUCUGUAAGAUUCUAUUCAACAGUACAGUCAAGGUCAGAGGUCCAAUAACAUUCCUCACUCAAUUCAUCACUUAUACUAUUUCUUAUUUUCUUGUAAUUUUGAUAUUCAUUUUUCAAAAUUUGAUCUAUUCUAACCUAAUUUUAAUCUUAAUCUUUUGUAAACCUGAAAAUCUUAAUCAUAAUCUCUAUACUUCACCUAAAAAAGAUAAUAAUAAUUUCAUGACAAAUAUAUCACUAUAAAAAACAUUCACUAAAACCAUGAGCUAUAAAUCUUUGCAGUGAUUAUCUUUCUUCUCUUAUCUUAAGAAUGAUGACAAUAUGACCUUCAGUCUAUCAUAAAGUUCCACAGAAUUCUUGACACCUAAGAAAUAGUCAGCCAAUCAAAAGACAUAAAAUUAAACAAUAAAGAAGACAAAACAAUAGUAAGCACAUUGAAAUGCUGAAAAUUAUAAGACUUGUGACCUCAACUGUACAAUGAAUGAAGACUGUCAGAUAAGUGCAGCUGAUUUUAUUGUGUGUCACAGUGCAAAUAGGGAAUCAGAUGAAGUGUUAUAGGGAUAGGGGAUCUGAUUGUGUGUCAUGGAGUGAGAAAAAGAUCUCAUGAUAAUAGUAGAGGAUCUGAUGAAAGCUACAAAGGAAUAUUAGUUUAGAUGAAGUGUUAUGUUAGAAAACAGGAUCUGAUUGUGUGUUAUGGUGCAAAAAGAGGAUCUGAUGAAAAGUUAUACAGAGAAUAGAGGAUUAGAUGAAGUGUGAGGAGAAGAAAAGAAGAAUUAAUAAAGUGUUACCAUAGAAUAGACAAUUAGUUGAAAUGUUAUGAUAGAAUAAGGGAGAAAUAUUAUGAUAGAAUAGAGAAUUUGAUGGAGUGUUAUAUCAGAAAAGAGGAUCGCAAAUACUAGAUAUCCUGGUUACUAGAAUGAUGUUAUGGGGGUAUGAUUAGAUGUUUAUGAGUAGUACAUUUCACUAUAGACACUUGGUUAAUUAGUUUGAAUCAAUAAAGGUGCAAGAUGUUCUGGUUUUAAGUCAGUGUAACAAUAGCAAUUUGUUUCAUUGGUCAGGGUGUGAAAUUAUGUAGCAUUCGAUAAUCGUCAGUGCAAAACAGCUUAAAAAAAAAUGUGAUACCAGAGUAUGUGAUAUUAAAAUGGAAAUUGGUGAUUGGUUAAGUAGUCUUGGAGUAGUUCAUUUGUCAAGAGGAUGGGGAUAUAUUGUUGUUAUUAUUAUUAUUAUUAUUAUUAUUAUUAUUAUUAUUAUUAUUAUUAUUAUUAGCUUGAGUCUCAGGUCUGCAUUAACAAAUUUCUCAGUGCCUUAUCUUUGCCAUAUUCAACAGGCCCUAAUGGAAGUUAUUGGGGUUUUCAAAGAUGAUAGUUCAACAGGUUUUAAUGGAAGUUAUUGUGGUUUUCAAAGGUGUUUUCAUGAUUUCAGCUAUAGGUCAACAGGUUUUAGUGGAAGCUGUUGGGGUUUUCAAGGGUGUUUCAUGAUUCCAGUAACAAUUUAAUGGGUUUUAGUGGAAGUUAUUGGGGUUUUCAAGGGUGUUUUCAUGAUUUGAGCUAGAGUUCAACAGGUUUUAGUGGAAGUUAUUAAGGUUUUCAUAGUUUUUUCACUGAUUUAGAUGAUAAUUUAAUGAGAAUAACUUUGAAAAUCUUUAAUGGUAGUUAUUGGAUAAGUUUUGGCAAUAUUAGUGGCAUUUAAGCAAAGAUUCUGCAUUGCGGGAAAGAAAGACAUCUGCAAAAAUGUGAGCGGCACAAGUGUUUCAAGAUGCAGACUUGACGCUCAGAAUGUUCGUGUGUUUUGUGUCUGUGUGUGCUUGUUCUUGUUUUCUCACUUGUAGUUUACUUCACUUUGUUACUUUUUUUUUAUAUAUACAUUUGUUUAGCUCUAUUUAUUGUAGGAUUUUUUUUUUUUUUUUUUUUUUUUUCCUCGGUACUAUUAUUGUUCUUAUUCUCUAUGGUGUAUUUUGUCUAUUUUAUCUUUCUUUUGCAUAAUUUUAUACUUUUUAUAUUCUACUUCUAAGCUCAAUUUUUGGAAGGGGUGCAUCAGUACUAUUAUAUAUACAGUAUAUAUAUUAUAUUUUAAAACUCCAUGGGGUUAUUUUAUGUGUACAAAAUUAAUCUCAAUAUACUUAAGGGAAAAACAGUAAUAUUAUAAACUUUUAACUAUUUUCUCCUCUCAGCAAGUACUGUAUUAGCGCUUUCCUUGUACAGUUAAUUACUUAAAUCUUAUGGUUCUAUGAAAACUAUGUCAAUCUAAGUCAAUAAACUUUAACAGAAGCAGAAA